GGCCUAACACAUGCAAGUCGAGCGGCAGCACGGGUACUUGUACCUGGUGGCGAGCGGCGGACGGGUGAGUAAUGCCUAGGAAUCUGCCUGGUAGUGGGGGAUAACGUUCGGAAACGAACGCUAAUACCGCAUACGUCCUACGGGAGAAAGCAGGGGACCUUCGGGCCUUGCGCUAUCAGAUGAGCCUAGGUCGGAUUAGCUAGUUGGUGAGGUAAUGGCUCACCAAGGCGACGAUCCGUAACUGGUCUGAGAGGAUGAUCAGUCACACUGGAACUGAGACACGGUCCAG
This 289-nucleotide ribosomal RNA is filed under the name Pseudomonas sp. UI. RNAcentral's name for it is "partial 16S ribosomal RNA". It matches the Rfam family "Bacterial small subunit ribosomal RNA", at positions 46 to 334 of the family's 1533-position model. The record is from RNAcentral. Lineage: Bacteria; Pseudomonadati; Pseudomonadota; Gammaproteobacteria; Pseudomonadales; Pseudomonadaceae.